Molecule: small nuclear RNA, 168 nt
Organism: Erinaceus europaeus (western European hedgehog)
Lineage: Eukaryota; Metazoa; Chordata; Mammalia; Eulipotyphla; Erinaceidae
Gene: U2
Rfam family: U2 spliceosomal RNA
About the family: U2 is a small nuclear RNA (snRNA) component of the spliceosome (involved in pre-mRNA splicing).
Source: Ensembl
ACACCUUUAAGAUCAUCUGUUCUUAUCAGUUUAACAUCUGAUAUAAGCUCUGUUUGAGGACAAUAUAUUCAGUAGAUUUCUGGAACUGGGAUUUGUAAGAGAGCCUUACUCCAUCUACUCUGUGCAUCAACCUACUAUUGCAGUACCUCCAGGAAGAGUGCAACCUGC